CCAAUAGCGUAUAUUAAAGUUGUUGCAGUUAAAAAGCUCGUAGUUGAACUUCAGGCCUGUCCAGAUGGUCCGCCUUAAUUGGUGUGUACUGUCCUUGGGUGGGUCCUACCUUCUGGCGAAGCGGCAUGGCCUUAAUUGGUUGUGUUGGGGAACCAGGACUUUUACUGUGAAAAAAUUAGAGUGUUCAAAGCAGGCAAAUAUGCUCGAAUACAUUAGCAUGGAAUAAUGGAAUAGGACGAUGGUUCUAUUUUGUUGGUUCUAGGACCGUUGUAAUGAUUAAUAGGGAUAGUUGGGGGCAUUAGUAUUCAAUUGUCAGAGGUGAAAUUCUUGGAUUUAUUGAAGGCUAACUACUGCGAAAGCAUUUGCCAAGGAUGUUUUCAUUAAUCAAGAACGAAAGUUAGGGGAUCGAAGACGAUCAGAUACCGUCGUAGUCUUAACCAUAAACUAUGCCGACUAGGAAUCGGGCGAUGUUGACAAAAUGACUCGCUCGGCACCUCAUG
Molecule: ribosomal RNA, 500 nt
Filed under: uncultured Glomeromycotina
Lineage: Eukaryota; Fungi; Glomeromycota
Description: partial small subunit ribosomal RNA
Rfam family: Eukaryotic small subunit ribosomal RNA
Source: RNAcentral